AGCAGAGUCAUGUUGCACACAGAUGGCUGAACGUUGUUAUGCGUGUGACAUGUGAAAGUGCGCGUAAUAAUGUUCCGUUGUUUGUGAGCGACAUUGCGUUGUCCCA
RNAcentral lists this microRNA precursor (106 nucleotides) under Ixodes scapularis (black-legged tick). RNAcentral's name for it is "microRNA isc-mir-5312 precursor". The record is from miRBase by way of RNAcentral. Lineage: Eukaryota; Metazoa; Arthropoda; Arachnida; Ixodida; Ixodidae.